This 495-nucleotide ribosomal RNA is filed under the name uncultured bacterium. Its description in RNAcentral is "partial 16S ribosomal RNA". It matches the Rfam family "Bacterial small subunit ribosomal RNA", at positions 28 to 507 of the family's 1533-position model. The record is from RNAcentral.
GACGAACGCUGGCGGCGUGCCUAAUACAUGCAAGUAGAACGCUGAAGGAGGAGCUUGCUCUUCUGGAUGAGUUGCGAACGGGUGAGUAACGCGUUGGUAACCUGCCUGGUAGCGGGGGAUAACUAUUGGAAACGAUAGCUAAUACCGCAUAACAGUAGAUGUUGCAUGACAUUUACUUCAAAGGUGCAAUUGCAUCACUACCAGAUGGACCUGCGUUGUAUUAGCUAGUUGGUGGGGUAACGGCUCACCAAGGCGACGAUACAUAGCCGACCUGAGAGGGUGAUCGACCACACUGGGACUGAGACACGGCCCAGACUCCAACGGGAGGCAGCAGUAGGGAAUCUUCGGCAAUGGACGGAAGUCUGACCGAGCAACGCCACGUGAGUGAAGAAGGUUUUAGGAUCGGAAAGCUCUGUUGUAAGAGAAGAACGAGUGUGAGAGUGGAAAGUUCACACUGUGACGGUAUAUUACCAGAAAGGGACGGCUAACUACGUG